RNAcentral lists this ribosomal RNA (301 nucleotides) under uncultured bacterium. RNAcentral's name for it is "bacterial SSU rRNA". It matches the Rfam family "Bacterial small subunit ribosomal RNA", at positions 505 to 805 of the family's 1533-position model. The record is from RNAcentral.
GUGUCAGCCGCCGCGGUAAUACGUAGGGUGCAAGCGUUAAUCGGAAUUACUGGGCGUAAAGCGUGCGCAGGCGGUGAUGUAAGACAGUCGUGAAAUCCCCGGGCUCAACCUGGGGACUGCAUCCAAAACUGCUGAACUAGAGUACGGUAGAGGGUGGCGGAAUUCCGCGUGUAGCAGUGAAAUGCGUAGAUAUGUGGAGGAACACCGAUGGCGAAGGCAGCCCCCUGGGCCAAUACUGACGCUCAUGCACGAAAGCGUGGGUAGCAAACAGGAUUAGAUACCCUGGUAGUCCACGCCCUAA